RNAcentral lists this ribosomal RNA (17 nucleotides) under Carlina salicifolia. RNAcentral's name for it is "partial 18S ribosomal RNA". RNAcentral also lists the same sequence under 1 other name. The record is from RNAcentral. Lineage: Eukaryota; Viridiplantae; Streptophyta; Magnoliopsida; Asterales; Asteraceae.
AUGCUACCUGGUUGAUC